CAUUUAGAGUAAAUUAUAUUCGUACAGUUUAAGACUUAAUAUACUCGUAUUUCCUUCCUAUUUUACCCAUACACAAAUCCUCCAUACUUUUUACAACUCUAUUACAAAGGUAUCCCCCGGACCAUCAUGGUAUUAAUUCCGUUAACAGAAAUGUCUUCCCCACAGCAGUUGUUAACGUUGAAAGAGUGUUUUUGAAAUUCCAAAAAUUGAACAUGCUCUCUUUCUUUUUUCUUCAUACAUAGUCACAUAUAGGAUCUUUUUAUUCUGAUAAAAAGAAUAUUAUGAAACUAUCACUGGAUGUGCAGCAUCUUCUAUGAAAUUUACUAAAGUCAAGCAUCAACAUUUCAAAACCAAAACCAAAUAUUUCAAAGCCAUUGUUAGUGAUCCAGCUACUAUACCCAAGUAUAUGACAGUAUAAUAAAUAAUACAGUAGUAGCUAACCACAAAAAUCCCCUCAUCCCGUAAACAUGUCCUUGGGUAAGUCCUACUUGCAUAGGUUAUUGGAAACCCAAAUCAUCCAAAAUAGUAUCGUAGUAUUGUAAGUCCAACACGGGUUACUGCAAGUCCAGAGCACGUUAUCGUCUUUACAUAGGAAAAGUUCCAGAACCAAUAUUGACAAAAAAAAUUGAAAUUUCAAAACCAUAAAAAAACAUCAACAGGAAUAAAAAAAGAGGAUAAUUUGAGAACCAAUUUAACGAAAAAUAAAAUGAAAUUUAAGAUUCGUCAAGCCACUCGCUCUCCUUCUUAAGCUGCUCCACGAGCGUCGUAGGCUCUUCAAUGAAAGAAUGGGUGCGUUCGGAGCGUUUGACGGCGCUGGGGGCUGAAGCGUUGAUGGCUUGGUUGUUGAAGCGAUUGAGACCUUAUCGCAAGCGGCGAGUUUGAAGAGGCUGAAAAGUGGUUGUGGCGCCGGAGCGGUGGCAGAUACAGGUGGUUUAUGCACAUGGCGCGGCGAAGUGGUUGGCGUUGUUGUACAUUGCUUCGCCUCCCCUGUGUUCUACAAACCCUAGCAGAGCACAAUUGGAAUUUUCUAAUUUUAGAGGCGAUCCACAAGGGUUAUUUGGACAUUUCACACAAUAAUAAACAUGGUCAAUUAACUGAGAUGACUCGGG
This 1109-nucleotide long non-coding RNA is filed under the name Glycine max (soybean). RNAcentral's name for it is "long non-coding RNA (GMAX_LNC002572)". The record is from RNAcentral. Lineage: Eukaryota; Viridiplantae; Streptophyta; Magnoliopsida; Fabales; Fabaceae.